This 253-nucleotide ribosomal RNA is filed under the name uncultured prokaryote. Its description in RNAcentral is "partial 16S ribosomal RNA". It matches the Rfam family "Bacterial small subunit ribosomal RNA", at positions 524 to 776 of the family's 1533-position model. The record is from RNAcentral.
AACGUAGGAGGCAAGCGUUAUCCGGAGUUACUGGGCGUAAAGCGCAUGUAGGCGGUUGGGUAAGUGGCGUGUGAAAGCUCCCGGCUAAACUGGGAGAGGACAGGUCAGACUGCCGAACUGGAGUUCGAUAGAGGAGCGUAGAAUUCCGGGUGUAGCGGUGAAAUGUGUAGAGAUCCGGAGGAAUACCAGUGGCGCAAGCGGCGCUCUGGGUCGGGACUGACGCUGAGAUGCGAAAGCGUGGGGAGCGAACGGG